CCAGACUCCUACGGGAGGCAGCAGUAGGGAAUCUUCGGCAAUGGACGAAAGUCUGACCGAGCAACGCCGCGUGAGUGAAGAAGGUUUUCGGAUCGUAAAGCUCUGUUGUAAGAGAAGAACGGGUGUGAGAGUGGAAAGUUCACACUGUGACGGUAUCUUACCAGAAAGGGACGGCUAACUACGUGCCAGCAGCCGCGGUAAUACGUAGGUCCCGAGCGUUGUCCGGAUUUAUUGGGCGUAAAGCGAGCGCAGGCGGUUAGAUAAGUCUGAAGUUAAAGGCUGUGGCUUAACCAUAGUACGCUUUGGAAACUGUUUAACUUGAGUGCAGAAGGGGAGAGUGGAAUUCCAUGUGUAGCGGUGAAAUGCGUAGAUAUAUGGAGGAACACCGGUGGCGAAAGCGGCUCUCUGGUCUGUAACUGACGCUGAGGCUCGAAAGCGUGGGGAGCGAACAGGAUUAGAUGCCCUGGUAGUCCACGCCGUAAACGAUGAGUGCUAGGUGUUAGGCCCUUUCCGGGGCUUAGUGCCGCAGCUAACGCAUUAAGCACUCCGCCUGGGGAGUACGACCGCAAGGUUGAAACUCAAAGGAAUUGACGGGGGCCCCGCACAAG
Molecule: ribosomal RNA, 608 nt
Filed under: uncultured bacterium
Lineage: Bacteria
Description: bacterial SSU rRNA
Rfam family: Bacterial small subunit ribosomal RNA
Source: RNAcentral